AACGAACGCUGGCGGCAUGCCUAACACAUGCAAGUCGAACGAGACCUUCGGGUCUAGUGGCGCACGGGUGCGUAACGCGUGGGAAUCUGCCCUUGGGUUCGGAAUAACAGUUAGAAAUGACUGCUAAUACCGGAUGAUGUCUUCGGACCAAAGAUUUAUCGCCCAGGGAUGAGCCCGCGUAGGAUUAGCUUGUUGGUGGGGUAAAGGCCUACCAAGGCGACGAUCCUUAGCUGGUCCGAGAGGAUGAUCAGCCACACUGGGACUGAGACACGGCCCAGACUCCUACGGGAGGCAGCAGUGGGGAAUAUUGGACAAUGGGCGAAAGCCUGAUCCAGCAAUGCCGCGUGAGUGAUGAAGGCCUUAGGGUUGUAAAGCUCUUUUACCCGGGAUGAUAAUGACAGUACCGGGAGAAUAAGCCCCGGCUAACUCCGUG
Molecule: ribosomal RNA, 433 nt
Filed under: uncultured bacterium
Lineage: Bacteria
Description: partial 16S ribosomal RNA
Rfam family: Bacterial small subunit ribosomal RNA
Source: RNAcentral